RNAcentral lists this ribosomal RNA (427 nucleotides) under uncultured bacterium. Its description in RNAcentral is "partial 16S ribosomal RNA". It matches the Rfam family "Bacterial small subunit ribosomal RNA", at positions 355 to 774 of the family's 1533-position model. The record is from RNAcentral.
UUGGGAAUCUUCCGCAAUGGGCGAAAGCCUGACGGAGCAACGCCGCGUGAGUGAUGAAGGUCUUAGGAUCGUAAAACUCUGUUAUUAGGGAAGAACAAACGUGUAAGUAACUGUGCACGUCUUGACGGUACCUAAUCAGAAAGCCACGGCUAACUACGUGCCAGCAGCCGCGGUAAUACGUAGGUGGCAAGCGUUAUCAGGAAUUAUUGGGCGUAAAGCGCGCGUAGGCGGUUUUUUAAGUCUGAUGUGAAAGCCCACGGCUCAACCGUGGAGGGUCAUUGGAAACUGGAAAACUUGAGUGCAGAAGAGGAAAGUGGAAUUCCAUGUGUAGCGGUGAAAUGCGCAGAGAUAUGGAGGAACACCAGUGGCGAAGGCGACUUUCUGGUCUGUAACUGACGCUGAUGUGCGAAAGCGUGGGGAUCAAACA